Molecule: ribosomal RNA, 1482 nt
Filed under: uncultured Bordetella sp.
Lineage: Bacteria; Pseudomonadati; Pseudomonadota; Betaproteobacteria; Burkholderiales; Alcaligenaceae
Description: partial 16S-23S ribosomal RNA intergenic spacer
Rfam family: Bacterial small subunit ribosomal RNA
Source: RNAcentral
AGUUUGAUCAUGGCCUGAUUGAACGCUGGCGGGAUGCUUUACACAUGCAAGUCGAACGGCGGCACGGACUUCGGUCUGUGGCGAGUGGCGAAUGGGUGAGUAAUGUAUCGGAACGUGCCUAGUAGCGGGGGAUAACGACCACAAGAAAGGCAUAAUACCGCAUACGCUCCUCGGGGGAAAGCGGGGGACCUUCGGGCCUCGCACUAUUAGAGCGGCCGAUAUCGGAUUAGCUAGUUGGUGGGGUAACGGCUCACCAAGGCGACGAUCCGUAGCUGGUUUGAGAGGACGACCAGCCACACUGGGACUGGAGACACGGCCCAGACUCCUACGGAGGCAGCAGGGGUUUUGGACAAUGGGGAAACCCUGGAUCCAGCCAUCCCGCGUAAAAAGUGAUGAAGGCCUUCGGGUUAAAGCACUUUUGGCAGGAAAGAAACGGCACGGGAUAAUACUCCCGUGCAACUGACGGUACCUGCAGAAUAAGCACUGGCUAACUACGUGCCAGCAGCCGCGGUAAUACGUAGGUGCAAGCGUUAAUCGGAAUUACUGGGCGCAAGCGUGCGCAGGCGGUUCGGAAAGAAAGAUGUGAAAUCCCAGAGCUUAACUUUGGAACUGCAUUUUUAACUACCGAGCUAUAGAGUGUGUCAGAGGGAGGUGGAAUUCCGCGUGUAGCAGUGAAAUGCGUAGAUAUGCGGAGGAACACCGAUGGCGAAGGCAGCCUCCUGGGAUAACACUGACGCUCAUGCACGAAAGCGUGGGGAGCAAACAGGAUUAGAUACCCUGGUAGUCCACGCCCUAAACGAUGUCAACUAGCUGUUGGGGCCUUCGGCCUUGGUAGCGCAGCUAACGCGUGAAGUUGACCGCCCGGGGAGUACGGUCGCAAGAUUAAAACUCAAAGGAAUUGACGGGGACCUGCACAAGCGGUGGAUGAUGUGGAUUAAUUGAUGCAACGCGAAAACCUUACCUACCCUUGACAUGUCUGGAAUCCCGAAGAGAUUUGGGAGUGCUCGCAAGAGAACCGGAACACAGGUGCUGCAUGGCUGUCGUCAGCUCGUGUCGUGAGAUGUUGCUAAGUCCCGCAACGAGCGCAACCCCUUGUCAUUAGUUGCUGAAGGAAAGUGGUACCAUUGAGACUGCCGGUGACAAACCGGAGGAAGGUGGGGAUGACGUCAAGUCCUCAUGGCCCUUAUGGGUAGGGCUUCACACGUCAUACAAUGGUCGGGACAGAGGGUCGCCAACCCGCGAGGGGGAGCCAAUCCCAGAAACCCGAUCGUAGUCCGGAUCGCAGUCUGCAACUCGACUGCGUGAAGUCGGAAUCGCCAGUAAUCGCGGAUCAGCAUGUCGCGGUGAAUACGUUCCCGGUCUUGUACACACCGCCCGUCACACCAUGGGAGUGGGUUUUACCAGAAGUAGUUAGCCUAACCGUAAGGAGGGCGAUUACCACGGUAGGAUCUUGGCGACUGGGGUGAAGUCGUAACAAGGUAG